RNAcentral lists this ribosomal RNA (267 nucleotides) under uncultured Staphylococcus sp. RNAcentral's name for it is "partial 16S ribosomal RNA". It matches the Rfam family "Bacterial small subunit ribosomal RNA", at positions 96 to 356 of the family's 1533-position model. Lineage: Bacteria; Bacillati; Bacillota; Bacilli; Caryophanales; Staphylococcaceae. The record is from RNAcentral.
CGGCGGAUGGGUGAGUAACACGUGGGGAACCUGCCCCAUAGUCUGGGAUACCACUUGGAAACAGGUGCUAAUACCGGAUAAGAAAGCGGAUCGCAUGGUUCGAUAGUGAAAGGGUGGUUUUGCUAUCACUUAUAGAUGGACCCGCGCCGUAUUAGCUAGUUGGUAAGGUAACGGCUUACCAAGGCGACGAUACGUAGCCGACCUGAGAGGGUGAUCGGCCACACUGGAACUGAGACACGGUCCAGACUCCUACGGGAGGCAGCAGCG